This 627-nucleotide long non-coding RNA is filed under the name Capsicum annuum. Its description in RNAcentral is "long non-coding RNA (CANN_LNC005336)". The record is from RNAcentral. Lineage: Eukaryota; Viridiplantae; Streptophyta; Magnoliopsida; Solanales; Solanaceae.
UACAGUCCAAAAAUAAAUAAUGCGGAAAUAUAAAUUUAUUCUACCCUAGACUAAUCCUAUACUACGCUCUACCGCUUCACCCGACGCCUCGGGCCUUCACCACGAAUAUCUUCCAAGUACAAGGUACUUCGGGGCAUUCCCCGGUGAAUAAAUAUAUACAGAUACUUCGGGGCAUUCCCCGGCCAAAUUAUAUAAUUGAAUUAAAUGCGACAAAAAACCAAAACCAUUCCAACACAUAUUUCAAACAUGUCUUCAAUCCACCAUGCCUAAAUUUGCCUACCCGAACCUACCAUUUGCAUAUUUAAUUAGCGACCUAAAAUCGUGACACUAUCGAAUUUAAUCGAGUCGAUGCUUAUCGCGAAUUAAGCGACUAUCAAUGAAUCAACGUAAACUAAUGUUCACUUUUAUCAAUUUUAAUUCCACCCCAAACAAUCAAUCUUAAUUCUCCAAACAAGAUAUCAUCUCAUCACAUAAUCCAUAAUCAAUCCACAAUCAAGGGAAUUAAAAUACCAAACCAGAACAACAAUAAUUCACAUCAUUACGAGUCAACUAACACACAAUAUUAGAAUCAAUGCAUCGGAUACCAUCAACAAUAAAACAAAAGAGGUAAAGAGUAGAAUUAGACCU